ACUCAAAUGAAUUGACGGGGGCCCGCACAAGCGGUGGAGCAUGUGGUUUAAUUCGACGCAACGCGAAGAACCUUACCUGGGUUUGAACUUCAGGCGACAGCCCUCGAAAGAGGGUCUCCCUUCGGGGCGCCUGGAGAGGUGCUGCAUGGCUGUCGUCAGCUCGUGUCGUGAGAUGUUGGGUUAAGUCCCGUAACGAGCGCAACCCCUACCCUUAGUUGCCAGCGCGUCAUGGCGGGAACUCUAAGGGAACCGCCGGUGAUAAACCGGAGGAAGGUGGGGAUGACGUCAAGUCCUCAUGGCCUUUAUGCCCAGGGCCACACACGUGCUACAAUGGUCGGUACAAAGGGUUGCCAAGCCGUAAGGUGGAGCUAAUCCCAAAAAGCCGAUCUCAGUUCGGAUUGGGGGCUGCAACUCGCCCCUAUGAAGGUGGAAUCGCUAGUAAUCACGGAUCAGCACGCCGUGGUGAAUACGUUCCCGGGCCUUGUACACACCGCCCGU
Molecule: ribosomal RNA, 498 nt
Filed under: uncultured bacterium
Lineage: Bacteria
Description: partial 16S ribosomal RNA
Rfam family: Bacterial small subunit ribosomal RNA
Source: RNAcentral